GCCGAACCGGACGAACGUUAUUCGGAAUCAUUGGGCUUAAAGUGUGCGUAGGCGGCCUUGUAGGUGAGGUGUGAAAUCCCACGGCUCAACCGUGGAACUGCGCUUCAAACCACAAGGCUUGAGUGAGGCAGAGGUAAGCGGAACUGAUGGUGGAGCGGUGAAAUGCGUUGAUAUCAUCAGGAACACCGGUGGCGAAGGCGGCUUACUGGGCCUUGUCUGACGCUGAGGCACGAAAGCUAGGGGAGCAAACGGG
Molecule: ribosomal RNA, 253 nt
Filed under: uncultured bacterium
Lineage: Bacteria
Description: partial 16S ribosomal RNA
Rfam family: Bacterial small subunit ribosomal RNA
Source: RNAcentral